RNAcentral lists this transfer RNA (37 nucleotides) under Adelanthus carabayensis. RNAcentral describes it as "partial tRNA-Leu". Lineage: Eukaryota; Viridiplantae; Streptophyta; Jungermanniopsida; Jungermanniales; Adelanthaceae. The record is from RNAcentral.
ACGGACUACCGUGAGGGUUCAAGUCCCUCUACCCCCA